RNAcentral lists this ribosomal RNA (350 nucleotides) under uncultured bacterium. RNAcentral's name for it is "bacterial SSU rRNA". It matches the Rfam family "Bacterial small subunit ribosomal RNA", at positions 8 to 353 of the family's 1533-position model. The record is from RNAcentral.
AGAGUUUGAUCAUGGCUCAGGACGAACGCUGGCGGCGCGCCUAACACAUGCAAGUCGAACGAGAGAUGAGGAGCUUGCNCUUCAAAUCGAGUGGCGAACGGGUGAGUAACGCGUGAGGAACCUGCCUCAAAGAGGGGGACAACAGUUGGAAACGACUGCUAAUACCGCAUAAGCCCACGGCUCGGCAUCGAGCAGAGGGAAAAGGAGCAAUCCGCUUUGAGAUGGCCUCGCGUCCGAUUAGCUGGUUGGUGAGGUAACGGCCCACCAAGGCGACGAUCAGUAGGGGUUCUGAGAGGAAGGUCCCCCACAUUGGAACUGAGACACGGUCCAAACUCCUACGGGAGGCAGCA